This 276-nucleotide ribosomal RNA is filed under the name uncultured prokaryote. Its description in RNAcentral is "partial 16S ribosomal RNA". It matches the Rfam family "Bacterial small subunit ribosomal RNA", at positions 524 to 800 of the family's 1533-position model. The record is from RNAcentral.
UACGUAGGGGGCUAGCGUUAUCUGGAAUUACUGGGCGUAAAGGGUGCGUAGGUGGUUUCUUAAGUCAGAGGUGAAAGGCUACGGCUCAACCGUAGUAAGCCUUUGAAACUGGGAAACUUGAGUGCAGGAGAGGAGAGUGGAAUUCCUAGUGUAGCGGUGAAAUGCGUAGAUAUUAGGAGGAACACCAGUUGCGAAGGCGGCUCUCUGGACUGUAACUGACACUGAGGCACGAAAGUGUGGGGAGCAAACAGGAUUAGAUACCCUGGUAGUCCCUGA